AAGAGGGUGGGAGGGCGGUCGGCUCCGAAGACCCCGGCGGGUCCCGGCAGGUUUAAACCCCACUGCACCCCAGCCUUCCACCCAUAUGGUUGGAGCAGCAGUAGGGCUCGCCCCUGGUGCGGGACUCCAGCCCGAGUGGGGCCUGGGGGCUGCAAGUGGGAUGUGGGAGCGGACGCCAACUCGGGCCGGCCCUGAGCCUGGAUCCCAGGUGUGGAUUCCAGAGUGGAGGGGCUGACUUCUCUGCUGCCAGUAUGAGGACAAGGUCAGCAUGCCAGCCUCCUGCCUCAGGCAGCUGCUGAGCGAGCAGCUGUGUUGUAGACGUGUUCUAGAUGUGUUGUAGACAUGUUCCAGGCAGGGAAGGGAGGGGAUGUGCCAGGUGGGAAGCAUUCCAUGGCCCAUGCCCCGAGGAACAUUAAAUCCCAGUCCCGUGGCCUCAUUGUCCUCAUUGUCGCUGUUCAGAAUCUAAGUCCUUCACGAUGGCCUGCCCGGCUCACUGGGUCUUCUUCCAUCGAACCUCCUCUACCCAGUUCCUAUCACUGUUCAUUCCUCUCUGGCUUCACAGGCCCCUUGCUGUGCCCACCUCGACCUGUGAGGCUAGGGGUUCAUCUGUGUCCUUCACCUUAACAGACAACUAUUGCCACUACGACCCAAACGGGAGGACAGUGGACCUAGUGGGGCAGCACACAUAAGAGGUCCCGAAGGCAGCAGUGGCGGCUCAGACCUCAGCAGGGGAGGCCAGGUGCGGGCAGAGUCAGGGUAGGAAGGAGAGGACACGGGCGGCUUCAGAAACGUUCUCAGCAGAUGAGGGUGCGAUGGAGGACCUGGCCCUGAAGGAGUGUGAGAGACAAGAGGAAACACCCAAGCCCCGACCCCCCUCAGGCUGCAAAGGAGAUGGGAGCAGUGGCCUCCAGCGAUACAAGCCUUCAGAAAAUGUCUUUUUUUUUUUUUUUUGCGGUACGCGGGCCUCUCACUGUCGCGGCCUCUCCGGUCGCGGAGCACAGGCUCUGGAUGCGCAGGCUCAGCGGCCACAGCUCACGGGCCCAGCCGCUCUGUGGCACGCGGGACCCUCCCAGACCGGGGCACGAAACCGCACCCCCUGCAUCGGCAGGCGGACUCCCAACCACUGCACCACCAGGGAGGCCCAGAAAAUGUCUAUUUUGCUUUUCUCUCCAAAGACCUUGGCCUGUGAUUGUGGGAGCAUCUCGAAGAAUAAAUAGUGUGGCUGAGGACGCAGGUUUAAGAUGCCAGGGGUGGGCCCAUGUGGCCUGCCAAUAUGGCAAGCUCCCGACCAGGUCUGAGAGUCUUGGAGGCGGUGGGGAUGAGAAGGCCACACUGAAGGGAAGAAGCCGAGAGCUCAGGGCAAUCACAGACACAUGAAAGGAGCAGAGGAAAUUGAGCUCCCACAUGACUGGGCCUCCUGAGCGGGGAGGCAGGCCCCCACCCCCAGCCACCCAACACACACAGAGUUUUCGUUUUAUUUAUUUGCUUAUUUUUUGGCCGCACUGCACAGCUUGAGGGAUCCCAGUUCCCCGACCUGGGAUCAAACACGUGCCCCACCCCCGCAACUGAGAGCAUGGAAUCCUCACCACAGGACGGCCAGGGAAGCCCCUACAGUUUAUGUCAGCAGUCAGGAGGCUCAGCCCCUCCUCCCAGCUCAACCAGGGUCCCCAGCCUCUCUCCAACCUCCUGCCGUGCCAGCCACUGUCCACGGGGGAAGCCCAGUGUUCAGGUCUCCAAGCCCAGCCCUAUCCUAGUGGGUCUGGACUGUGCCAGGUGUGGGAUGCAGGGCCCAAGACUCAGGCACACACCUCAGUCUGCCAGGAGCUUCCCUCGGCCAGCCCGGGGUUAGACACCAAGGACAUCCCCAGGAAACAGGGUGGAGACCGAGGGAGGUCCCUGGCAAGGGACCUGCAGUGGAGGGUUUAGCCCUCCAGACGUGCUGAGAGGAAAUGGAGAGCCCUUUGGGCUGGGGGAGGGGCAGUGGCAGGAUCCCUAAUACACCAGAAAGGCCCUAGAAGGAAAGAAACAUCCAGAUAGACAUCAAGGACUGUCACUGAGGGGGUAGAGGUGGCGGUGGGGGGGGGGAAUAAUUGCUACUUCAAUUUGCUUUUAUAUUUGAAAGACAACGAACCUCCUACUAGCCCUGUGGCCUGAGGAAACUGUGGGGAGGAGGAGACCUAAACUGAAAUAACAAUCUUAACUGCACAACUACUGAUGUCGCUUCUCCAGGGUCCCUGCACCUAGGUCAAGUACCGGGCCCUUGGAUUAAUUUUCAAAAGUUAAAAAACCCAAAUAUGUGGAACCUGGAAAAGUGGUACAGAUGAACCGGUUUGCAGGGCAGAAAUAGAGACACAGAUGUAGAGAACAAACGUAUGGACA
Molecule: RNA transcript, 2379 nt
Organism: Orcinus orca (killer whale)
Lineage: Eukaryota; Metazoa; Chordata; Mammalia; Artiodactyla; Delphinidae
Gene name: nascent polypeptide-associated complex subunit alpha, muscle-specific form-like
Exons: 2
Source: RefSeq, a predicted model, not a curated record